This is a long non-coding RNA of Vespa velutina, 1228 nucleotides long. RefSeq lists it as uncharacterized. The record is from RefSeq and is a predicted model, not a curated record. The transcript is spliced from 3 exons. NCBI's taxonomy places the organism in Eukaryota, Metazoa, Arthropoda, Insecta, Hymenoptera, Vespidae.
AUACAAAAUUAUUUAAUUCUUAAUGGGGAUGUAAAUAUCACGCGUUUAACGUUUACGAACGAAUUAUUAAAAAAGAUUUUAAAGUGAAUGGGGGAAAAGAGGGAUUUGUGUGUAGCACAGUAAUGUGAACAGAUGCAGUCUACGCCAAUGAAAGCACUGCAUGUGACAAGUAGAUGAAUAACAUCAUUCCAGUCACAAAUACAAACUCGGUCAGAGAGAUAGAAAGAGAGGCAUAUAACACACGCGCAUCCUUGUUUGCGUUGAUACAUGGGCGCCUUUCACGAGAGAAAAUACAUACGCAUACACACACACACACAUACACACACCACAUAUACACAUAUAUACAGGUACGAACGAAACUCUCUUCUAACAAACAAAGUACAUCCUGUUUGCCGCUGAUACAUAAUGCUAUUUUGUGUAUGAAGGAAGUACACGAUAAAACCAUGAAAAAAAUAAAUCUAUUGAAACAUUGUAAAUACCUUGUAUGAGAAAUACGUAUGUUAGGACAACGAGGAACGUCUGGUUAACGGUAAAGUGCACUUUGUGAUUUAAAACUAGCGGUUGAGAGUACGUCAAAACCGCCAUGUUCAUGUAAAAAACAGUCGAAUAGACCUUCCUGCGCAAGCUCUGUGUUCGAACUGUCGCGAGUAUACGAGCAACGAGUUCUGACUUGUGCUUCGGUUUCUCUCGGCCUUGUUCGGCCGUGUUCGUACGUGUCGGCUCACUUAAGAGCGAGGUAACGUGCCUCGGCCAAUCACGAUUAACGCGUGGCGUGAAUGCCGACCAAUCGUGACACGAGUUUACUACAAGUAUUGAGAAUUUGGCGGGAGGGAGACGAUGUGAAUGAACGUCAAGCACGUGCGAAUAAACGAUAGUAAUGCACUUUUCCGGAACGCGAUCGUCCACUGAAGAAGGUGGUGGACUUUCAAGAACCUUAUAUGACGUCUCUCUAUCGAAUUUUUCUAUGAUGUCUCAUAAAAUGAAGAACAAUUCAUCACGAUAUAAUAAUGAAGAUGAUUAAGCCGAAGAAAAAAAAAGAAUUAAAUAAAAUUAUACAAAGGACAACUUUCUCAUAUAAAUUGACUGUUAUAUGUCAUAAAGAGUUCCUUUACUUUGAUGAUGAAAAGGUCGAAACUAUUUAUGGGUUUAUGCGCAUUAAAUUUGAUUACCGGAUGUCCUCCACCUUCAACCAAGUAAGUAAGUACCUAUUACUUGGGAGGCUCGCCCG